UGACUUAAAAGUUAAUAUGAUAUUUCAGGGCAGGGCAGACAACACCUGCCUAGGAAGAUGGAGAGAGGAAGGAAAGGACUUCUCUUCCCUGAAUAUGCCAGAAAUAUAAAGCAAGGAGUGGAAUGAAAACAUCAAGGGGCAGCUCCUUGAAAGAGUUCAGUGAAUCAUCUUGUGGGGAAGAUAAGAAAUGUUUUGAAAUAUGUCUGAAAAGGGAAGAGGGCAUUCCAGAUACAGGAGACAUCAGAAAAACAACACAGAACAAAACAAAUCCUCCCAGCUGUGAUCAGCAUGCUUAGAUCUUGUCUUGAACUUCACAAGCCUCCUAGGGAUGAAAACCUACGUGGUAUGGUACCCAUGCUCCUCUUGCAACCACAGAGUUAAUAUCAGCUUCACUGUGUGAAGGUAAAC
Molecule: long non-coding RNA, 408 nt
Organism: Pan paniscus (pygmy chimpanzee)
Lineage: Eukaryota; Metazoa; Chordata; Mammalia; Primates; Hominidae
Source: Ensembl